This 201-nucleotide long non-coding RNA is filed under the name Panax ginseng (ginseng). RNAcentral describes it as "long non-coding RNA (PGIN_LNC015854)". The record is from RNAcentral. Lineage: Eukaryota; Viridiplantae; Streptophyta; Magnoliopsida; Apiales; Araliaceae.
UGCGGUCAAUCUCAGAGAGGAAAAGCCACACUCCUCUCCAUAUUUUCAUACAAAAACAAGUCCCAAGACACCAAAGAGAUGGUAGGGAUACACACAGAUCAACGAUCCAUUCUGAUCUGUCCAGAGACAACUCAAUGUCCAUCCAUCAAGGAGGAAUUCAGAAUACAUCAAGAUUACAAGCCCUGAAGAAGCAGGCAAAAU